Molecule: RNA transcript, 3200 nt
Organism: Oryzias melastigma (Indian medaka)
Lineage: Eukaryota; Metazoa; Chordata; Actinopteri; Beloniformes; Adrianichthyidae
Gene: lrrc39
Gene name: leucine rich repeat containing 39
Exons: 9
Source: RefSeq, a predicted model, not a curated record
UUUUGACGAGUUGUUGAGGAUUUUGACCCUGAUGUUCUCCUCUGAAAUCUGAACCUCUGACAUGAACCAUGAACCAAAAAAGCCCAGACACAGAAACUUAGAGUUCCGGACCAUGAACUUAUGGAUCUGAACUGUGAACCGUUACAGACACAAACCUCCCUGGUUCUGCCAGACUUUAAGUUAUGGUAAAAUCUCGCUCUUGUGCACCAGCUCAGUCACUGGACCUGAAACAAACAAAAUGCUGUCUAUUACAACCUCACUGCUGCCCCAGUGGAGCUGACUUGUUUGUUUGUAUUGUUGUUUUUUCAUAAAGUAAUUUUUAUUUGAUCUGGUUUAUGAAAUACUAACGUCUGAGUAAUAGAAGGAAGAUUACACCUUUAAUUCUACAACCCUUGAAAUAGAAAGUCCAGUUCUCCUCAGUCACUGACAAGAACCAUCUGCACAGGAAUAUGUUUCUAUGGGUAUUAGUUUUUGUUUAUUUGUGUUUCAAUAAAUGUAAUAAAAUGCAUUUAUAAAGCAACUUUUGGGUUUUAUUGUGGAGAACAAAGUUUUCACAUAACUUGUUUCCAUUAAAAUAGUGAACUGUGAGUUGACUGCUCUGUCUGUAAAGGCCAUCCACUUAUAGUGAAGUGUCAGGUGUUUAGAAUAAAUAUUUGGAUUAUUGUUUUAGUAAAAGUUGUCAGCUGGUUUAAAGGCAGUGAUGAUGAAGCAGUAAUUGGGUGGAUGGGUAGGUCCAUAGUUGUUUAGAACUUGGUGAAGAGCAUGGAACUAAGUUCUGGUCCACAAUCACAGUGAUGGAAGGCAGCACCAGGUCUUUUUCAACGCCCAGAGCAGAAUGAGUUGAUCUGGUCUCUCCACAGUCUGUCCCUAAUCAACUCUCUGGUAUUUAGUUAUUCCUAAUUAUCAGGACAUAUCUCUUUAAGAAAGUGGAAAAAAUAUAUAUUUUUUAGUUGAUAUAUUAUUCACAAUCUGAGUGAUAGUAAAUGAGAUUUUUAUAUUAUUAGUAAGAAAUAUUGUUUUUGUUUUUUUAAGAAUAUUCUACAAUCUUUCGUACAUUUAUUAAUGUUACGCUUAAAAAAUGUCUGAAACGUUCUGCAGUUCUAACAAAAACUUCAUUAUAUUCUGAUUAAUAUCUAUUGUUUUUUAGUUUUAAAACAGAGAAAUUCAGCUUCAAAACUUUUUUUUAAGCUUAAAAUCUGAAAUUUUCAAGUUGGAAACUUUUGGCAACGUUCUGGUGUGUGGGGGCGGGGCUAACACAAAGGAUCAAUCAAUAUCAGUGAUGUUGGUAACCUCAGUCCUGGUGCGUUCACUGAUUGGGAAAAUUACUUAGGAAAUGUCUGUACUAUGGCAGCAAGUAAAAGGGAUCACAAAUUGCCAGGAAAAGCUGAAACUGAAAAAAGUUUUGAAACUAAAGUUUUUAGUUUUGCAAAAACAGAAAAUGUGAAGCUGAAUAUAAUUAUGUUUGUAUUAGAAUUGCAGAAACACAUUUUUUAGGGUAACACCUAUAUUUCAGUUUGAAUUUUUGAAGUUGUUUUAUUUAGGUUUUAAAUCUUUACACCCCGAUUGGCUUCACAGGAUCCUGGAUUACUCAAAUGUGUUUGUUUGCAUAAAAUAAAGGUUAAAAAUCUUUUUGUACAAUUCAUUUUUUGGUAUUCUACCCCGAAUCACAUGACUGAAGUUACCGUCCUCACGCCUUUUUUCGACACUGGCACCAGUCAGCUGUGGCAGCAGCAGGUCAUGUGAUCCAGGUCUAAAAUUAUCCACCAGCUCUGAGGUCAGAUUUCAGCAACAUGGAGGACAGCUGGGCAGCCACAAGGAAUAAUGGCGACCCUCACAGGUUCACUGGCUGAAGCCACUUUAACCAACCCAUAAUCAAUAGCGCCAGGAAGGAUGGUCAGAGAGGCGGAGCUGCAGCUCACAGGUCAGAGGUUAUCGAAACCGUGAGCGCUGUAGUGUCAAGACAGGAAGUGGCUGUUAUGGUGGGCGUGGUGGCGUAUGGCUCUGUGAGCUCCAUCAAAGCUCUGUGGGAGACCCGGAUCAAGAAAAGCAAGGAGGAGGAGCAGAAGAGAACAGCCAGGGGUGGAGCUCCAGGAAGACUCAGUGUUGGGGCCUGGGAGGAUCGGGCCAUUCUGGCUCGAUUAAAGCAGAAACUGCAGACUGAAGAUGGACGACUGAUUCUUCGAAUUGAGCAGGAGGAGUGGAAGGCUUUGCCAGGCUGUCUGGUCCAGCUCAGUCAGGUCCAGGAGUGGCAGAUCCACCGAACUGGACUGCAGAAGAUUCCUCAUUUUAUUCCCAACUUCCAGAACCUUCUAGUCCUGGAUUUGUCCCGUAAUUCCAUCACUGAGAUCCCAAAACAAAUCGGUGAGCUGACUCGACUGAAAGAACUGCUGCUGAGCUACAACAGAAUCCAGCGUGUUCCUGAAGAGCUGGGUGGAUGUGAGAGUCUGGAGAGACUAGAACUGUCUAUGAACUGGGACCUUAGUGAGCUUCCAGACCAGUUUAGGAACCUGACUCGGCUGCAGCACCUGGAUCUGUCCCUGAACUGCUUCAGCGUCCUACCCGACUGUAUAGUUGCACUGCCGGCACUUGUGUGGCUUGACAUUGGGGGGAACUGCCUGCAGCACUUACCUGAGGACAUACACAGAAUGGAGAAGCUGCACACGCUGUGGCUGCAGAGGAAUGAACUUGAGAGACUUCCGGACAACAUCAGCCGGAUGGCAAGUCUGGACACACUGGUGCUGAGCAGCAACAGACUGAGAGACAUCCCACCCCUGAUGGAGGGCAUGUCCAACCUCAGGUUUGUUAAUUUCCGGGACAAUCCCCUGAUUCUGGACGUGACUCUUCCUCCAAUAGAGAGAACGACAGAGGAUGACGAGGGUGAAGACGACAGGGAGAUGUUUGGACGAGAGUUCAUGCAAAUGUACAUCCAGGAAUCCAGAAAGAGAGCUUUCGCUGCGCUCAACAUGCACCGAGUCAACCGUUAGUAUCAACGCCGCAACAGCAGAGGGUGGAAGACUAACACUGGACCGGACCCUAACGAGGCUGUGGACACUAACACGGGUUGAAGCAGACAGAUGAAGACUCAUGAAGUACAGAACCCUUGAGGCGUCAGUUCUUUUUGCAGUUGGAGUCUAAAAGCUGCUCCAGAAAACAACUUUUACUCUAGAAGAGCACAAACCCGCUGGAGACAACACUUUAGC